UCGGGAGUUAGAUGAAUAAAUCUUCAAAUGAUUCUCUUCUGGUAUAUUGCACUUUUCACUGUAUCUGAAUACCACCUGCAGGGGCUAUAGAAAACAGAGAAGACUCCACCGGUCUAUACAAAAUGAUAGAUGGCCUUGGAAGGUAUAAUGCGGGGAUUCCCGAAGAUUAGACCUGUUCAUAACCAGGUCGAGAAUUGAAACGAGACGAACUCUUUUUAAGUUCAUCAGCGAUAUUACCCCACGGCUCAACUGCAGACGCGAGACAAAAUAUUUUUUUUUCAUGGAAGCUAGCCGGAAAAAGCUGCACGCUAUAGUGGAGAGGAUUUCAUAGGCUGUCCAUUCACAACUCGGCAACUGCUCGGCGUUAGAGCGCUGUGUAGAAACCGCGUGUGUAUUGACGUUUUGACAGGAGACCACAAACUUUACAUUUUUUAUCAUCUGAUAUUGUAUGUAUUUAUAAAACGCGUGUGCGAUGGUUGAUUUGAGGUCUACGAUUUUAGCUCUCGGUUUUUGAUGUUUUGUGUGGUUAGAGGAAUUCCAAAUAUUCUGACCUGCAGACAGCUCAUUAGGGUCACAAACUGACAGAGAUCAACAGAGAAUAUUUGUCCGUGUAAACAGUUCCAGGCCUGAUUGACAGAGGAGAGAUAUAAGGACAUAAAAGGGGUACCACCUUUGAUAAAGAUCAAAUCAAUUUAUUGAGAUGAGAUGAUCAGCACAGACUGCAGUGCU
Magallana angulata is the source of this 729-nucleotide long non-coding RNA. RefSeq lists it as uncharacterized. Lineage: Eukaryota; Metazoa; Mollusca; Bivalvia; Ostreida; Ostreidae. The record is from RefSeq and is a predicted model, not a curated record. The transcript has 3 exons.